UCUCUCUCUCUCCCUCCUCGAAUUCGCUACAUCGACGUCGGUCUCUCUCUUUCUAUCUCUCUCUCUCUCUCUCUUUCUUUAUACUACUGUCUCUCUGCAUACACCUCUCUUUCUCUUUCUCUCUUUCUUUCUCUUUCUCGCUCACUCCACAAGCAGCAAAGCAGUAGAGUCGCGACCUCCCUCUCGCUCCCGGCCGGCCUUUCCGGUACUACGAGACCGGCGCUCUAGCGAGGUUACACGGCGCCUCGUUGCCCGCGGCAGUGGUACGUGGACCGGAGGAGUGUCGCUAGCACGACGACGCCGCGAGCGGACGCGUCACGCUAACCGCGCGCGAUCCUGUGGAUCGCCGAAAGGAUCUAAAAGGAUCCCCACGCGAUAGAAAGUGUAUUAUACCUAUCGAUGUAAACGUGAUCGAUCUUACUCCAACUCGUCCAGUGACAGUGUUUUGUUCUUUAGUAAUAAUAAUUCUUCCUUCUCCUCCUUCUCUUCCUCUUUCUACUCCUCUUCUCUUUUCUCUCUCUCUCUCUCUCUUUUUCUCUUUUUAAAUCCUCUGAUCUUGAGAGAAUAGUCUUUUCGAUCGGUGUUGUAAUAUUUAUACGAAGACUUCGUAGUCCGUCGACAACGAAUCUUUGAGGAACGAAAACAUUCUGCUACUCUGUGAGGAAUCAUGACCUAGGCCUGAUCUCUUGGUGUUGGUUCGGUGGCUGCCGGUUAUAUCGAAUCAGUUCGUUGCUGUAUUAUAUCGUCUUCGAAGAGACAGAUCAAACAGAAACGAUCACGACGGAAUCGUCCUAUCGUCAUCUUCAUCAUCUUCAUCGUCAUCUUCUUUUAUAUCGCCGUCAUCGUUAUUCUACUUCAUUGUCGGCAGUGUCGAGUUUGUGCAGGUGUGCGUUUUGUUUGAUACGUGACAAGUGUCGCUACACCGUCGUCGACGUGCCGAACGCGAUACCGACGCACGGGCAGAAUGAUAUGAGUACGUUUGGCAGUAGGUACGCAUCAACGAGCCAUGUGUCUACGAACGAUGGAAAUGAGACAGAGGGAUUCGGGACGAUUAGAACGAACGAGAGGGAGAACGAGAGAGAAAGAGAGAAGGGGAAACACAACUACGGGAAGGGUGUCAAAGUGAGAGAGGAAACGCAUCUGACCCAGUGACCCUUCUUGCUUCGACCUCUCCUCUUGCCUUCCUUCCGCCAGAUUCCACACUCCUUCGGGCUUCUAAGCCCUCACACACGACCCUUUCGAAAUCCUCCAACUCCUCUUUCUCGAGGGAUCCUACAAAACUCCGACAAAAUUUCACGAGAAAUCUAAGAAAUCAUUUAUUUUCGCUUCAUCAUCCUUUGAUUAAUGAGUUAAGAGAUGUAA
Vespula pensylvanica (western yellowjacket) is the source of this 1362-nucleotide long non-coding RNA. RefSeq lists it as uncharacterized. The record is from RefSeq and is a predicted model, not a curated record. NCBI's taxonomy places the organism in Eukaryota, Metazoa, Arthropoda, Insecta, Hymenoptera, Vespidae. The transcript is spliced from 2 exons.